RNAcentral lists this ribosomal RNA (447 nucleotides) under uncultured bacterium. RNAcentral's name for it is "bacterial SSU rRNA". It matches the Rfam family "Bacterial small subunit ribosomal RNA", at positions 330 to 793 of the family's 1533-position model. The record is from RNAcentral.
UCCAGACUCCUACGGGAGGCAGCAGUGGGGGAUAUUGCACAAUGGGGGAAACCCUGAUGCAGCGACACCGCGUGGGUGAGGAAGCGCUUCGGCGUGUAAAGCCCUAUCAGUGGGGAAGAAAAAGGACGGUACCCAAAGAAGAAGCACCGGCUAAAUACGUGCCAGCAGCCGCGGUAAUACGUAUGGUGCAAGCGUUAUCCGGAAUGACUGGGUGUAAAGGGAGCGUAGACGGUUGUACAAGUCUGAUGUGAAAGCCCACGGCUCAACUGUGGGAGUGCAUUGGAAACUGUACGGCUGGAGUGCAGGAGAGGUAAGUGGAAUUCCUAGUGUAGCGGUGAAAUGCGUAGAUAUUAGGAGGAACACCAGUGGCGAAGGCGGCUUACUGGACUGUAACUGACGUUGAGGCUCGAAAGCGUGGGGAGCAAACAGGAUUAGAUACCCUGGUAC